GAUGAACGCUAGCGGCAGGCUUAAUACAUGCAAGUCGUGGGGCAGCAUGAGUAGCAAUACUUGAUGGCGACCGGCAAACGGGUGAGGAACACGUACACAACCUUCCUUCAAGCGGGGAAUAGCCCAGAGAAAUUUGGAUUAAUACCCCAUAAUAUAUUUGAUAAGGCAUCUUAUUAAUAUUAAAGCUUCGGCACUUGAUGAUGGGUGUGCGGCUGAUUAGAUAGUUGGCGGGGUAACGGCCCACCAAGUCUACGAUCAGUAGCUGAUGUGAGAGCAUGAUCAGCCACACGGGCACUGAGACACGGGCCCGACUCCUACGGGAGGCAGCAGUAAGGAAUAUUGGACAAUGGACGAAAGUCUGAUCCAGCCAUGCCGCGUGAAGGAUUAAGGUCCUCUGGAUUGUAAACUUCUUUUAUAUGGGACGAAAAAAGGGCAUUCUUGUUCACUUGACGGUACCAUAUGAAUAAGCACCGGCUAACUCCGUGCCAGCA
RNAcentral lists this ribosomal RNA (491 nucleotides) under uncultured bacterium. Its description in RNAcentral is "bacterial SSU rRNA". It matches the Rfam family "Bacterial small subunit ribosomal RNA", at positions 28 to 513 of the family's 1533-position model. The record is from RNAcentral.